AGAAAGGAAGAAACGAGUUUGUGGGAUCUCUCUCACAAGACAUCGACGAAACAAAGGUGGAGCCUUCUCCGAUCGAGAGUCGCUGUCGUCCCUAUCCCACUACGACAACAUCUCCUCCGUAUGAGCCGCUUGUCGAUUUCGACUCCUCCUCAUCAUCACCAUCGUCCCUGGAAGUGCUAAAUUUGUCCAAUUCCAAGUUGUUAUUACACAUUUUGAACAUAUAUUGUUUGAUUGAGUGUUUAGUUUCGAAAACCCUAAAUUGCAAGUUCAGGUUGAUAUCAGAGUGUCUCCCGGUUCUCAUGCCAAUGAACAUUCGGCUGAAUGAUAAAGAAAGAGUGGUAGCUGCUUAGGAGAAUCCUAAUUUCCGCCAGCUUGUGGAUGAGUGUAUCUACUCCAAUGAGAUGUGAAUCAGAGCAUUUUACUUUACUCUCUUGUACAUAUUUCACAUUUGGGAUUGUAUCGUAUGCCUAGGAGACCGCUCUUUGUCUAUUUUUGCAUUGCUUAUGUCACUUUACAAAUUUUGCCAUCCUUGAACGUUGUAUAUUGCCUUGAUUUGAUAAUGUUACAAACUUUUUUCUUCA
Brassica napus (rape) is the source of this 581-nucleotide long non-coding RNA. RefSeq lists it as uncharacterized. The transcript has 2 exons. The record is from RefSeq and is a predicted model, not a curated record. NCBI's taxonomy places the organism in Eukaryota, Viridiplantae, Streptophyta, Magnoliopsida, Brassicales, Brassicaceae.